GGAGUCCCUCCUUUUGGCAGGGUAGGUCUACUGGGUUCUUGGCACAGUACCAUAUGGACCUGGACAAAGCAUUGUUAAGUCACAGAUUCCAUAUUGGAGU
This is a long non-coding RNA of Neomonachus schauinslandi (Hawaiian monk seal), 100 nucleotides long. RefSeq lists it as uncharacterized. The transcript is spliced from 3 exons. The record is from RefSeq and is a predicted model, not a curated record. NCBI's taxonomy places the organism in Eukaryota, Metazoa, Chordata, Mammalia, Carnivora, Phocidae.